CAUUUCCACACGCCUCUCCGGCACCGCGAACGCACCAUCUUGCUUCCCAAGGCGUUGAACCUUCGCCCGACAAUCGAAAGACGCAUGAGAGCAUGGCUGCGCCGCCGACUUCCCCGUAUAAAAUGGCAGCCGCGCGGAGCAGGCAGCUUCCAAGCGACCAGGAAACCCACUGAGAAAGAUCUGGCAAAAAGGGAAGCGAGAGCCCCAAACUAGUUGCACGGGCCGGCGGGGGAAAGAGGAAGACUGAUCGAUCGGCAAAUCGAUGGCGCCGCGGCAGCCUCUGCUCCCGAGCUUCCUCUACGCGCCGUCGUCGUCCGGCGGGGCCGGCUUCGGCAGCGCGCAAGAGGCCGCCGUCGUGGCGGGGGCGCCGAGCGAGCCGCCGUUCGGGAAGAUCGAGAUGUUCUCGCCGGCCUACUACGCGGCCUGCGGCUUCGGGGGCGCCGCCGCCUGCGGGCUCACGCACGCCGCCGUCACGCCGCUCGAUGUCAUCAAGUGCAACAUCCAGAUCGACCCAGCAAAGUACAAGAGCACCUCGUCCGCAUUCAGCGUGGUUCUGAAAGAGCAAGGCGUGCGCGGCUUCUACCGGGGCUGGGCGCCGACCUUCCUGGGCUACAGCGCGCAGGGCGCGUUCAAGUACGGGCUGUACGAGGUGUUCAAGAAGGAGUACAGCGACAUGGCAGGGCCGGAGUACGCCGCCAAGUAUAAGACCCUCAUCUACCUCGCCGGGUCGGCCACGGCCGAGGUCGUCGCCGACGUCGCGCUCUGCCCCAUGGAGGCCGUCAAGGUGCGGGUGCAGACGCAGCCGGGUUACGCCAGGGGGCUGCGUGAUGGGUUCCCCAAGAUCGUCAGGGCCGAAGGCUAUGCAGGGCUGUUCAGAGGGAUGGUUCCUCUUUGGGGGCGACAGAUUCCUUACACCAUGAUGAAGUUCGCGACCUACGAGAACAUCGUUGAGAUGGCGUACAAGCACGUCAUCCCCACCCCGAAGGACCAGUGCAGCAAGCCCCUCCAGCUCGGGGUGAGCUUCGGGAGCGGGUAUAUCGCCGGAGUCUUCUGCGCCGCCAUCUCGCACCCGGCCGACAACCUGGUCUCGUUUCUCAACAACGCCAAGGGUGCCACCGUUGGAGACGCUGUCAAGAACCUCGGCCUCUGGGGCCUCUUCACGCGCGGCCUUCCGCUCCGUAUCCUCAUGAUCGGCACCCUGACCGGUACCCAGUGGGUGAUCUAUGAUUCCUUCAAAGUCAUGGCUGGAUUGCCGACGACCGGUGGAGCUCCGGCUCCUGCGGCGGUCCCUAAGGAAUAAAUUGGAAGAUCUAAAAGCCUUGCAGUAUUCUGGAACUUCGAGAGAAAAUAUGCUGAUACUCGGUAUUACCCAUCAUAAAAUGGAGUAGUUUAUAGUGGAUUGUUGAUUGUAAGAUUGUUCUCGUUCGAGUUGUUCCAUACUCACUGCCUUGUGGAUUUUUUCAGUAGGUUGGUCAAUAUGGGUCUUCUGGAAACAGUACACGUACAGAAGGAUGUCCAUCAUAUCAGAGUAUUGCCUCUUGGCGCUUUAAAGACCUUUGGGUACUUGCAUGCACGAUGAAGACUAAAAAAGGUGGCAAUCUCCAAGAAUGAUGGACUAGGGGUAGUUGCUUAGAAAUGAACAAAAUUCCAUACCGUUACUCAAAGAUCAUUAACCUUGUCUCUAAACUUUUCUCCCACAUUGAAAAUCCUUCUACCUCA
Brachypodium distachyon (stiff brome) is the source of this 1719-nucleotide RNA transcript. It is a transcript of the gene named mitochondrial phosphate carrier protein 3, mitochondrial, with no coding region annotated. The record is from RefSeq and is a predicted model, not a curated record. NCBI's taxonomy places the organism in Eukaryota, Viridiplantae, Streptophyta, Magnoliopsida, Poales, Poaceae. The transcript is spliced from 7 exons.